GUUUAUAUAGUUUAAAUAAAACCCUACAUUUUCAUUGUAGAAAUAAAAUACUAUAUUUUUAUAAAUU
Molecule: transfer RNA, 67 nt
Filed under: Drosophila willistoni
Lineage: Eukaryota; Metazoa; Arthropoda; Insecta; Diptera; Drosophilidae
Also listed under: 1 other name
Description: tRNA-Glu
Source: RNAcentral